Parasteatoda tepidariorum (common house spider) is the source of this 848-nucleotide non-coding RNA. The record is from RefSeq and is a predicted model, not a curated record. Lineage: Eukaryota; Metazoa; Arthropoda; Arachnida; Araneae; Theridiidae.
CUCUCUAAGAAUGAUGGAGCAUUAGUGACUAGUUAAAUUUCUGAAACAAGAUCAAGUACAUAUUGCUUUGUUUUAUUUAUUUCGAAAAUAGAGGGAAAAAAAGAAGAGUGAUUUUCAGAUUUGAAAUUACUUAAAUAAAAUUGAGUCUAUUUUAAUUCUAAAGCUAUAUAUAUAUAUUUUAUCAUGGAUUCUGAAGAGGAAGAAUUUUCACUUGAGGAACAAGUAUUUUGGUGCAUAAAAAAUAUAGAACAAAAACUUCAAGUGAAAAAUAUGAAUCCAAAGCAAGGUACUUGUUAUAAUAUGUGUUGGAUAUACAGAAUGAAAAUGUGGUGUAAUUGGAGUGACUUAUAAGUGAAUUGUUUUUUGUGAAAAUAAUUUUAUUUAAGUGAAAAGCGCAGCAGACCUACCAAAUGAAACAGACCUGCCAAUUUCAGAAAUUCAAAUCCAGAGACUUUUUUUAGAUUACAUGCCAAAUCUCUGUUACAAUCAUUAAAAGUAUUAGCUAAUGAGAAGACUCCUCUAAUUAAAAAAAGGCAAGUAAUGCGCAUGACCUGUGGGGAUUAUCGAACUUCUAUGCAAGAUGAAAUGAAACAGCUGAAACAACAGAUGAAGAAACAUAAAAUUGCUCCUGUUGAAAAAAUACAAGGAAGUCGUUUUCUGCAUAAGAGUAUCAAAAACUGUAAUGAAGAAAAAGAAGAAAUGAAAAAAACUGAAAACAAUUCUUCCAUUUUUCUUUUCAAUUUUCCAAAUACUGAUGAAAUAAAUGGAUAAUUCUUCUUUUCUUGUAUAGUAAUGUUGUAAUUUGUUAUACAUCUUCUGAAAUAAAAUAAAUAUUUUUUUGAACACUA